UGAGGAAUAUUGGUCAAUGGGCGCAAGCCUGAACCAGCCAUCCCGUGUGCAGGAAGACGGCCCUAUGGGUUGUAAACUGCUUUUCCAGGGGGAGAAUUUUUCUGUCGUGACAGGAAUUGACGGUACCCUGGGAAUAAGCAUCGGCUAACUCCGUGCCAGCAGCCGCGGUAAUACGGAGGAUGCGAGCGUUAUCCGGAUUUAUUGGGUUUAAAGGGUGCGUAGGCGGAUUGAUAAGUCAGUGGUGAAAACCUGCAGCUUAACUGUAGACUUGCCGUUGAUACUGUCAGUCUUGAGUGUGGUCAAGGUAGGCGGAAUGUGUAAUGUAGCGGUGAAAUGCUUAGAUAUUGCACAGUACACCGAUUGCGAAGGCAGCUUACUGGGCCAUUACUGACGCUGAUGCACGAAAGCGUGGGGAUCGAACAG
RNAcentral lists this ribosomal RNA (423 nucleotides) under uncultured bacterium. RNAcentral describes it as "bacterial SSU rRNA". It matches the Rfam family "Bacterial small subunit ribosomal RNA", at positions 355 to 775 of the family's 1533-position model. The record is from RNAcentral.